AUCUCUACUACUCUAUAUGAAUCUAUUGUAGGCGUUCACAAAAGUGCACCACGGUUCUGCCCCGCGUUCGUCCUCCCUCACGCGCCCUUGCUCAUGCCCCAAACCCGCCCCGCCAUCAGCGCCACCAAAUCCUCGGUCGACACCGCGCCGCCACCAAAUCCUCGCAGAGCGGAGGGGAGUUCACAGGGGCAAGGCGGAGGGGAUCUCGCCCACGGCUGCCCGUGCCCCUGCAGCGUGCCCCCUCCCGUCUCCAACGCGCCCGCCGCCUCCAGCUGCCUGUGCCCCUGCAGCCCUCCCCCACCCCCGCGACGCGCUCUACCCACGCCCGAGCAGGCAGCCGCGGAUCCUACCGGAUCCUGCCCACGCCUGAGCAGGCAGGCGGGGAUCUCGCCCACGCCUCUUUUUCUUUGAUAAUGCGGCUGGCUGACACAUUAGCAGUGCUUCCUUGAUAAAUUCAUUUUGCUAUUAUUUGUAAUUUGCAUAUGAAUUGCCUGCAAGUAUCUGCACCAAUAGCCCAUGAUUUCAGAAAUCAUAUUAAGCAUUUCUAGCUUUACCUUCAUGAUUAAUGAGAUGCUCUAAUUCAUUUUGUUAUUCUUUUUUCUCUAUCUGGAAUUAGUUCAAGAAGCACUUGAUGUCAGUGAGGUAGCCAGAGAAGUAAGGCGACAGAAAGCCAUUGGAAACAUAGUGUUGAUAUGCGUUGGAGCCAUCAUCCAAUUUUCUGCGGUUUCUGUCUCCUUUUUGCCAUUUUAUGUGCAAAGGAUCGCAUGAACUGUAGGCCAGCUAGCAGUGUUGGGUUCUUCUAUUGUGCUUUUGUGCAUUGGACAAGACAAGAAGUUCUUGGGACAAACUGGAGGUUUCAUGUGCCCAUUGGUGCGGGAGUCUGGGGAAGCGAGCUAAGAAAGAGCUCUGUAGAACAGCUUGCAUGACCCAAUCCCUGUAAAGAUCAAGAACUGCAUCGAGCUCAGGGCAAUGAAAAAAGAACAUGUUGAAGAAGUUGACCAGAAGUCAAGCAGCAACCAUGUCGAGAUCAGUGGAUAAAAAAUUCGUUCUGCGCCGCGAUGUCGAGGAACGUGGCGGCUUCGUUGCUGAUCAAGGAGCCGCCGCCGGUGAGGUCGGAGAGGGAGUGGAUGGUGAUGAAGGGGAUGUCAUGUUGGUGAGCGAACAACGUCGCUCUCCAUCUCCACGGGGUGCCUUCAGGCUGCAUGUUGCAAGAUACCCCCAAUGACUGCAAGGUACAACAUAGCAAUUACUCUAUCUCUUGUACUUGGAAGAUUUCAGGUAGGUUUUAUGUUUAGUUGUCUAGCAAAUCCUUGCAGUGAAUUUCCUGUCAUGGCCCAUGUAUACCAGUAUGCAUGACUUUGGUACUUUUUCAGAAAUGCCCAUAUUAAUUCCUGAUAAUUGUAUUGUACUUGCGAUAAUAAUAAGAAUCAUCAUAAUCCUCCGCACGAUGGUAAUAUCGAACAGAAUACUUAGUGUUGUUUAGUCAGAAUACUACCUAUUAACUGAUGUUCUAGAUCUGACACUUCUACCUUGCCUUUUUGUUUAGUUACCUGCUCCAUCCAGGGGAUCAUAUACUUCUAUGGAUUGAGCCCUCUGGGUAUCUUCUUGUCUAUUGUUUAAUUGAUGUGACUUGUCAAAAUUUUGGCACUUUUUUCUUGUUCACCACAAUGAAGAAAAGUAAUUUCAUCCUUGGUUUUGCAUCUGAGCUUUAAUAAUCUUUAAUGUGUAAUCUUAGGGGCUCUAAAGAUCUCUUUUCCCUGUGCCUUGUGAGACAAAGUCCAUCGACUCGACAGAGAAAGCGAUAGUUUGGUUUUGAUGGGCAGAACAAAAGAAAGCUUUACUCGACUACGGAUCGUGUUUGCUAAUCCUGCUCACUUUGCAACUAGAGUGUGUAAGAUUUUACCUACGGCUGAUUGUUUUGUGUAAGCAAAGUUUGUACUAAAACUAAAGAAGUUGUGUGAGUCGACUCUCUAUUUACCGUGUUGGCCCACUAUUUAUGUUGCAGAAGGUUUUCACAUCACAAUUUGUAAAUGGUCUAAAUAGUAUACAUUCAUUUUUAAUGGCAGCAGUCGUGCAACUUGAAUUUA
Molecule: long non-coding RNA, 2087 nt
Organism: Zea mays
Lineage: Eukaryota; Viridiplantae; Streptophyta; Magnoliopsida; Poales; Poaceae
Exons: 6
Source: RefSeq, a predicted model, not a curated record